Molecule: ribosomal RNA, 2900 nt
Filed under: Streptococcus pneumoniae GA04672
Lineage: Bacteria; Bacillati; Bacillota; Bacilli; Lactobacillales; Streptococcaceae
Description: bacterial LSU rRNA
Rfam family: Bacterial large subunit ribosomal RNA
Source: RNAcentral
UUAAGUUAAUAAGGGCGCACGGUGGAUGCCUUGGCACUAGGAGCCGACGAAGGACGUGACAAACGACGAUAUGCCUUGGGUAGCUGUAAGUAAGCGAUGAUCCAGGGAUUUCCGAAUGGGGGAACCCAACAGGUAAUACCUGUUACCUACAUCUGUUAAGGAUGUGAGGAGGAAGACGCAGUGAACUGAAACAUCUAAGUAGCUGCAGGAAGAGAAAGCAAAAGCGAUUGCCUUAGUAGCGGCGAGCGAAACGGCAGAAGGGCAAACCGAAGAGUUUACUCUUCGGGGUUGUAGGACUGCAAUGUGGACUCAAAGAUUAUAGAAGAAUGAUUUGGGAAGAUCAGCCAAAGAGAGUAAUAGCCUCGUAUUUAAAAUAGUCUUUGUACUUAGCAGUAUCCUGAGUACGGCGGGACACGUGAAAUCCCGUCGGAAUCUGGGAGGACCAUCUCCCAACCCUAAAUACUCCCUAGUGACCGAUAGUGAACCAGUACCGUGAGGGAAAGGUGAAAAGCACCCCGGGAGGGGAGUGAAAUAGAACCUGAAACCGUGUGCCUACAACAAGUUCGAGCCCGUUAAUGGGUGAGAGCGUGCCUUUUGUAGAAUGAACCGGCGAGUUACGUUAUGAUGCGAGGUUAAGUUGAAGAGACGGAGCCGUAGGGAAACCGAGUCUGAAUAGGGCGCCUUAGUAUCAUGACGUAGACCCGAAACCAUGUGACCUACCCAUGAGCAGGUUGAAGGUGCGGUAAGACGCACUGGAGGACCGAACCAGGGCACGUUGAAAGGUGCUUGGAUGACUUGUGGGUAGCGGAGAAAUUCCAAACGAACUUGGAGAUAGCUGGUUCUCUCCGAAAUAGCUUUAGGGCUAGCGUCGACAUUAGAGAUUCUUGGAGGUAGAGCACUGUUUGGGUGAGGGGUCCAUCCCGGAUUACCAAUCUCAGAUAAACUCCGAAUGCCAAUGAAUUAUGGUCGGCAGUCAGACUGCGAGUGCUAAGAUCCGUAGUCGAAAGGGAAACAGCCCAGACCACCAGCUAAGGUCCCAAAAUAAUUGUUAAGUGGAAAAGGAUGUGGGGUUGCACAGACAACUAGGAUGUUAGCUUAGAAGCAGCUAUUCAUUCAAAGAGUGCGUAAUAGCUCACUAGUCGAGUGACCCUGCGCCGAAAAUGUACCGGGGCUAAAACAAUUUACCGAAGCUGUGGAUACCUUUAUAGGUAUGGUAGGAGAGCGUUCUAUGUGUGAUGAAGGUAUACCGUGAGGAGUGCUGGAACGCAUAGAAGUGAGAAUGCCGGUAUGAGUAGCGAAAGACAGGUGAGAAUCCUGUCCACCGUAAGACUAAGGUUUCCAGGGGAAGGCUCGUCCGCCCUGGGUUAGUCGGGACCUAAGGAGAGACCGAAAGGUGUAUCCGAUGGACAACAGGUUGAUAUUCCUGUACUAGAGUAUGUAGUGAUGGAGGGACGCAGUAGGCUAACUAAAGCAGACGAUUGGAAGAGUCUGUCUAAGCAGUGAGGUGUGAAUUGAGUCAAAUGCUUAAUUCUAUAACAUUGAGCUGUGAUGGGGAGCGAAGUUUAGUAGCGAAGUUAGUGACGUCACACUGCCAAGAAAAGCUUCUAGCGUUUAAACAUACUCUACCCGUACCGCAAACCGACACAGGUAGUCGAGGCGAGUAGCCUCAGGUGAGCGAGAGAACUCUCGUUAAGGAACUCGGCAAAAUGACCCCGUAACUUCGGGAGAAGGGGUGCUGACUUAAAGUCAGCCGCAGUGAAUAGGCCCAAGCAACUGUUUAUCAAAAACACAGCUCUCUGCUAAAUCGUAAGAUGAUGUAUAGGGGGUGACGCCUGCCCGGUGCUGGAAGGUUAAGAGGAGUGCUUAGCGUAAGCGAAGGUAUGAAUUGAAGCCCCAGUAAACGGCGGCCGUAACUAUAACGGUCCUAAGGUAGCGAAAUUCCUUGUCGGGUAAGUUCCGACCCGCACGAAAGGCGUAAUGAUUUGGGCACUGUCUCAACGAGAGACUCGGUGAAAUUUUAGUACCUGUGAAGAUGCAGGUUACCCGCGACAGGACGGAAAGACCCCAUGGAGCUUUACUGCAGUUUGAUAUUGAGUGUCUGUACCACAUGUACAGGAUAGGUAGGAGUCUAAGAGAUCGGGACGCCAGUUUCGAAGGAGACGCUGUUGGGAUACUACCCUUGUGUUAUGGCCACUCUAACCCAGAUAGGUGAUCCCUAUCGGAGACAGUGUCUGACGGGCAGUUUGACUGGGGCGGUCGCCUCCUAAAAGGUAACGGAGGCGCCCAAAGGUUCCCUCAGAAUGGUUGGAAAUCAUUCGCAGAGUGUAAAGGUAUAAGGGAGCUUGACUGCGAGAGCUACAACUCGAGCAGGGACGAAAGUCGGGCUUAGUGAUCCGGUGGUUCCGUAUGGAAGGGCCAUCGCUCAACGGAUAAAAGCUACCCUGGGGAUAACAGGCUUAUCUCCCCCAAGAGUUCACAUCGACGGGGAGGUUUGGCACCUCGAUGUCGGCUCGUCGCAUCCUGGGGCUGUAGUCGGUCCCAAGGGUUGGGCUGUUCGCCCAUUAAAGCGGCACGCGAGCUGGGUUCAGAACGUCGUGAGACAGUUCGGUCCCUAUCCGUCGCGGGCGUAGGAAAUUUGAGAGGAUCUGCUCCUAGUACGAGAGGACCAGAGUGGACUUACCGCUGGUGUACCAGUUGUCUUGCCAAAGGCAUCGCUGGGUAGCUAUGUAGGGAAGGGAUAAACGCUGAAAGCAUCUAAGUGUGAAACCCACCUCAAGAUGAGAUUUCCCAUGAUUAUAUAUCAGUAAGAGCCCUGAGAGAUGAUCAGGUAGAUAGGUUAGAAGUGGAAGUGUGGCGACACAUGUAGCGGACUAAUACUAAUAGCUCGAGGACUUAUCCAA